Long non-coding RNA from Mauremys reevesii (Reeves's turtle), 779 nucleotides. RefSeq lists it as uncharacterized. NCBI's taxonomy places the organism in Eukaryota, Metazoa, Chordata, Testudines, Geoemydidae. The record is from RefSeq and is a predicted model, not a curated record. The transcript is spliced from 3 exons.
CAAGAAGAGAUGAAUAACGAGAGUGAGGCCUGAUUUAGACACGAAUUACUAGGAAAUUUUUUGGACAAGAAAAAUACUUGAAAGAAAGACAACACUUACAACAUCUCUGGCACGGCUCAGUUUCCAGCUAUCCUGAGAGCCCCUUCUGAGUGCUCUCGCUGGAGGAGUGCCCGCUCUGUAGCAGGAAGGCUUUCCACUCCUGUGCUGUGCUGGCAACAUGCAGUGUCAAAUGUUACAUGCAGGGAUUGGAAGCCGUGUUUCCAGGAUCACGUAUAGGUACAGGGUUCUCAGGCAACCACACCCUGCACCAGCUCUUCGGAUCUUUGGCAGAUUCUCCCUAGAGGCAGUGGUCCUUGAAGAAAGAAAUGUGUGAACAAGUGGAGUUUGCUCUGUGCCUUGGGUGGAGCCCAUUCUUGAGCAGAGUUGCAUCUUGGGAACUAGGCAUUGUUGUUGGGCUGAGAUUCCAGAAAGAAGAGAUUGCCCUGCAUGCUGUUGGCAACCACCUCUGUUCUAGGACUGGUGUAUAUAUAAAUAAAACACGUUACUGCCCAUUACUGAUUUCUCCUCCGCUCGGAAGCUGACCUGCAAAGCCCUGGAAUUCUGUUACUGCUCAGUAGACAAGUUGCGCUGGUGAUGGAAGAAGGGUCAGCAUUACCAAAACUACAUAUCUAGUCAUUUUGGGCCCAAUUCAAAUCCCACUGAAGUCAAUAGGAAUGUUUCCAUUAACUUCAAUGGGCUUUGGAUCACAGCCUUUAUACUGUACUUAUCAACAUUGUAUC